This 642-nucleotide long non-coding RNA is filed under the name Homo sapiens (human). RNAcentral describes it as "non-protein coding lnc-PTGES2-4:1". Lineage: Eukaryota; Metazoa; Chordata; Mammalia; Primates; Hominidae. The record is from RNAcentral.
CAUGUUCAGCCAGCAGCAGCAGCAGCAGCUCCAGCAACAGCAGCAGCAGCUCCAGCAGUUACAGCAGCAGCAGCUCCAGCAGCAGCAAUUGCAGCAGCAGCAGUUACUGCAGCUCCAGCAGCUGCUCCAGCAGUCCCCACCACAGGCCCCGUUGCCCAUGGCUGUCAGCCGGUAACCUCCGAGGCUAUGGCAUGGCAUCCCCAGGCCUCGCAGCCCCCAGCCUCACACCCCCACAACUGGCCACUCCAAAUUUGCAACAGUUCUUUCCCCAGGCCACUCGCCAGUCCUUGCUGGGACCUCCUCCUGUUGGGGUCCCCAUGAACCCUUCCCAGUUCAACCUUUCAGGACGGAACCCCCAGAAACAGGCCCGGACCUCCUCCUCUACCACCCCCAAUCGAAAGGAUUCUUCUUCUCAGACAAUGCCUGUGGAAGACAAGUCAGACCCCCCAGAGGGGUCUGAGGAAGCCGCAGAGCCCCGGAUGGACACACCAGAAGACCAAGAUUUACCGCCCUGCCCAGAGGACAUCGCCAAGGAAAAACGCACUCCAGCACCUGAGCCUGAGCCUUGUGAGGCGUCCGAGCUGCCAGCAAAGAGAUUGAGGAGCUCAGAAGAGCCCACAGAGAAGGAACCUCCAGGGCAGU